This 391-nucleotide long non-coding RNA is filed under the name Mytilus galloprovincialis (Mediterranean mussel). The record is from RNAcentral. Lineage: Eukaryota; Metazoa; Mollusca; Bivalvia; Mytilida; Mytilidae.
AUUUGUCCUCCUGUCAUUUUGACAAACUAAUCAUAACUUUACUAUCUGGAAUACAGUGUGAGUACAUACUUAACGUAGUUUUACUAAGAAGAACACAUCGUAUGACAUACAAACCUUCAAAGCUGGGUUUAAAGAAGAAAAAUUCUACCGAACCAUCAGUUAUUUUCUUUGCAAGAUAUUGUGUUCUUCCUUUUUUUGUCAUAUGCAGCUCAAAGAUAUUACAUUUCUACAAAAAAAAGUGAAAUCACAAAAAUACUGAACUCCGAAGAAAAUUCAAAAAGGAAAGUCCACAAUCAAAUGGCAAAAUCAAAAGCUCAAACACAUCGAACGAAUGGAUAACAACUGUCAUAUUCCUGAGUUCGUACAGGCAUUUUCUUAUUUAGAAAAUUGC